UCAUGCAAGUCGAGCGAACAGAUAAGGAGCUUGCUCCUUUGACGUUAGCGGCGGACGGGUGAGUAACACGUGGGUAACCUACCUAUAAGACUGGGAUAACUUCGGGAAACCGGAGCUAAUACCGGAUAACAUUUGGAACCGCAUGGUUCUAAAGUGAAAGAUGGUUUUGCUAUCACUUAUAGAUGGACCCGCGCCGUAUUAGCUAGUUGGUAAGGUAACGGCUUACCAAGGCGACGAUACGUAGCCGACCUGAGAGGGUGAUCGGCCACACUGGAACUGAGACACGGUCC
Molecule: ribosomal RNA, 290 nt
Filed under: Staphylococcus saprophyticus
Lineage: Bacteria; Bacillati; Bacillota; Bacilli; Caryophanales; Staphylococcaceae
Description: partial 16S ribosomal RNA
Rfam family: Bacterial small subunit ribosomal RNA
Source: RNAcentral